This 388-nucleotide ribosomal RNA is filed under the name uncultured bacterium. RNAcentral describes it as "bacterial SSU rRNA". It matches the Rfam family "Bacterial small subunit ribosomal RNA", at positions 28 to 417 of the family's 1533-position model. The record is from RNAcentral.
GACGAACGCUGGCGGCGUGCUUAACACAUGCAAGUCGAGCGGUAAGGCCCUUUCGGGGGUACACGAGCGGCGAACGGGUGAGUAACACGUGGGUGACCUGCCCUCAGCUCUGGGAUAAGCCCGGGAAACUGGGUCUAAUACUGGAUAUGACUCCAUGACGCAUGUUGUGGGGUGGAAAGCCUUGUGCGGCUGAGGAUGGGCCCGCGGCCUAUCAGCUUGUUGGUGGGGNGAUGGCCUACCAAGGCGACGACGGGUAGCCGGCCUGAGAGGGCGACCGGCCACACUGGGACUGAGACACGGCCCAGACUCCUACGGGAGGCAGCAGUGGGGAAUCUUGCGCAAUGGGCGAAAGCCUGACGCAGCGACGCCGCGUGAGGGAUGACGGCCU